CGUGAGCGGCGGACGGGUGAGUAACGCGUGGGUAACCUGCUCAUACAGGGGAUAACAGUUAGAAAUGACUGCUAAUACCGCAUAAGACACGGUACCGCAUGGUACAGUGGUAAAAACUCCGGUGGUAUGAGAUGGACCCGCGUCUGAUUAGGUAGUUGGUGGGGUAACGGCCUACCAAGCCGACGAUCAGUAGCCGACCUGAGAGGGUGACCGGCCACAUUGGGACUGAGACACGGCCCAG
This 241-nucleotide ribosomal RNA is filed under the name uncultured bacterium. RNAcentral describes it as "partial 16S ribosomal RNA". It matches the Rfam family "Bacterial small subunit ribosomal RNA", at positions 90 to 334 of the family's 1533-position model. The record is from RNAcentral.